UCAAUGACAUCUGCAGGCUUCCCUUCUGAUUCUAGUUCUUUUGCUAUUUUGCUAGUACAUCUGCAGUUACCUCCUCCACUGAAGUCUUAAGUCCCUCAAAGUCAUCCAUGAAGUUUGGAACAACUUCUUCCAAACUCUUAUUAAUGUGGAUAUUUUGACCUCCUCCCAUAAAUCACAUACGUUCUUAGUGGCAUGUAGAAGGGUUAAUCCUUUACAGAAGGUUUUCAGUUUACUUUGCCCAAAUCCAUUAGAGGUGUACAACUUAAAAGCCAGAUUAAAAGAAAAAAAUCAGGUUUUCUAUAAAUAGCUUGUUACUUACUUUUGUGUAUGGUCCUUGGAAAACUAUCAUAUACUCAAUUUUAUUUUAGUUAUUGGGAGAGCAGAGCUAAACAUACCUGGCUAUGUAGCUCUCAGUAUAUGUUUUUCUUUUGUUUGUAAGCACACCUGGGGCAGGAUUUCUUGCCAAACUAGGUGGUGUGGAAUUUCGGGGUUUGACAUUAGCUCUAUAAAAAAGAGGAAAAAUAAUGGAAAAGUAUUGAACAGUGAGCAUGUAUUUCUCAAAUUACCUAUUCACAUGACUAGAAAGAAUACUUAGAAGCUUCAGAGAAGUUCAAAAGAUUAAAGUCCCAAUAAUUAUUUUAAAUCUGAAAGCAAAUAGUAGUUAAUAUUAAAGAUAAACCAAAUAAUUUUGCAUUUACUAAUACUAUUCUGAUAGUAAAUAAAAUCAACUAAAAUAUGUAUAUAUGCUUUACAUGAAAUUUAUAAGGUAAUCAUUCUGAAAGAUACAUUUUUAAAAACAGUUUAAAUUUAUAUUUCCCUCAAAACAUAUAUUCUGAUAAAUGCUUACGGAUAAUGGUUAAAUAAACAAACAAGUUUCAUUAUUCUAGGCAUAUACGAUGUAGUUAAAAAAAGAAUUUUUUUGCUAGUCACAUUAAAGAAUAAUAUUCAACUUAUGAAAGUUCUAAAAAGCAGCAACUAAAAUAAAUGAGUUAAUAUAAUAUUCCCUUUAAAGAUUUAAUUUUACCAACUGCACAGCCUGGGCUAUCCGAAAUCAGAGGGACUUCUGGUUGGAUCAUCCAUGAGUCUCCAUUUUGAAACUUUAAGAAUCAAAGAAGGGUUAGAAAACUAAAUGAUGAUGAUAUAACACUAAAAGCAGAGGCUUGGGAAUUCAAAUGAAUUUAGAUUCAAAUGCUAAUGCUACUGACAGCUUUGUGACAGCAAGUCUGAGUCUCAUCAUUUAUAAAAUGAUCACUUAUAGAAAGGUUAUGAGAAAAAAAGUACAAUUCAUAUAAACAUUUAGAUAGCUGAUGCUAAUACUAUUACUACUGUUGUUGCCACUAUAAGUUAACAUUUAUAUAAUAGUGCUUACUCCAUGUCAAGUACAAUUCUAAUUAUUUUGCCCAUAGAAAUUUAUUUAUCCUAAUAAUCCUAUGAAAUAGGUAGCGUUCAUAACUCCAUUUACAGAUAAGACAAAUGAGGUAAAGAGCCCCUAAGUAACUUACCCAAGGUGACCCUGCUAGUGUGUUCCAAAGCUAGGAUUUAGAUGUUCAUUGAAGCAUAGUUCCCUCCCUCUCUAUAGAGCUUUAAUCAAAUCUUUAAAUUUCACAGGUGAACAGUGUUAUAUGAACAGCAGAAUACUUUAAAAAAUACCUCCAGAUUAGAGGUUCUUAAACUUUAGUUGAAAUUUUUCUUACUCUACUUAUAUGGCAAAGUAGGAGAGAGUACCCUAAAAUUGUAAAUAGCUGCUUCCAAAGUACAUGCAGGUAAUAACAACAUCCACUAUUUUUCAAACAGCCACUACAUGACAAUUAUGAAGCCAGAUACUACACAUGCCUUAUUUAAUGUCCCCCAAAUCUCAGAAGAUAUUAUUCCCAUUUUAAAGUGGAAGCAUGUUCAAAGAGAUUAUAUAAAUUGUGAGGCUACUACGUGGCCAGAGUAGUACUUGAACUUAAGUGGGCUGUAUUACAGAACUCAUAUUCAAUACACAAUGCUGUCAUUCAAAGUGGUUGCUUUGCAUAGUUACUUCUUUAAAUUACUUCUAAACUUCAACAAGCAAAGAAUCACUUUGGUGCAUGAAUGGAAUGCCCUGCACCUCUUCAAAUGCUCACUCCAAGUCCAUUCAUGAGGUUUACUCUACUCUUGUGUAUAGCCUCUUUGGGGAUGUUGUAGAACUACUAGAGUCUUUUUCUAGAAAUUCAAUCUUUAGGAAAUCAUUGUCAAAGAAUGGACUUUAAAUAGGAAGAACACUUUUUUUUUUUUUGGCUAUAGAAUCGUCUUAAGUGCAUGAGAUAUACAAACAAUACAAACACACCCAUGAAUAUAUACACAUAAUGUCACCAUAUCGGUAACUUGAGGUUGUUCAAAAUGUUUAUAUUUAGAGGAAAAUAUAAGAGAUUAUCAUCAUUAAUAGCUACCAAUAUUAAAUACCUGUCAUUUAUUUUUAGUAACAUCUAGAAUGGCCUUGAUCACUUAAAACAUCUUGCCCCAGUCUUACACAGUCCACAAAUUUUUCUUUCUGUUCAGAAUCUGCAAAGCAUUACUCUUACUCUGUAUCUAGAAUCUACCUGUUAACAGCUCAUAUGAAUAAUUAAAGAAGGUUUAAUUUUGGAAUUGUACUUAAUCCAUCUUACUGCUAGUCACUGUUACUGUGAGAUCUGCAUCAGAGAGUUCUGACAGUAGAAUCAGCAAAAUGAAAAACGGCUCACAGCACAAACUCUUCCUGCUAGGAUUUAUCACUACUUAAAAAUAGCAAAUGGCUGCUGCUAGUAUCUUAAAGACUUCUCCUACCUUUGUUUAUCUAGUUAAAUUUAUUAUUACUUUUCAUACAUACAUACUGAGCAGACUGUUGUAGUAGGUGUUGGUUUAAAAGUUAACUAAGUUACUCUGCUUAAUAUUUUCCACCAUUAAUAGGUAUAUUAAUUUUUAGGCCCUAAUUUCAUAUUUAAAAUGUGGGCUAGAAUUGAGACCCAAAUUAGUAAACCUUGAAGACUCAUGCUGUAGAGUUUCAAAGUAACUGCCAUUGCCACACACUCUUUUCAGCCAGCCAGGUCAGAACUGGCUGUGUCAUACUCUUCCUCGAGCUUGACUCUUUGGCAGUGUCAUACUUUUUCCCGGUUGUAGGCAGAAUUUACAACCAUCUAACAAAAAGACUAAGGACCCUUGGAUUGAAAGUUUCCUAAAAUCUUUUCUUUUUCUGGGCUUUUUAUAAUAGUUCACCAUCGGCUUAUCUAAGAGAUAAUCUAACAAUAUUAUAUACUGUACAAGACAUUAUUUUUCUCAAACUCUGCUUUUUAAAACUACUAUUACAAAAAACCCUAAUUACUACUAAAAAAAACUUCAUAAAAAUAAUUAUUAAAUGUGACUGCAAUUUGAAACCUCAAAAAAUUAAUAUUUAAUGGAAUAAAAUGUAUAACCUAAAAAGUUUUAUUUAGUACAACAGAAAUGCUUACUAAAAAUCAAAAUGUUUUAAAUCCUAGAUUAUUUGACACAUUUUGGCUUAGAAAUUAUUCAACAGAUUUUUUUAAGUAUAGGACAGUAAAAGUUAUGUUAUUCCAUUAUAUAAAGCUUUUAAGGAAAUAUCUGAAAAAUAUUAACCAAACUGAGUUACAAAUACUUACUUGUAAAUAGGUAAUAACUCAUGUCUUUUGAUGGCACUGUCUGAUUUUGUAUCACUGUCAUACAACCUUUGCACAAGUCUUCCCGUUCGAAGUGGAGGGCCUAACUUGUCCAUAUUACUAUUAAAAUAUAUAAAGGUGUACCCAUAAGGAGAUUGCUACUGCUUCUUUAUAUAAAGUUUUUUUAAAAGACAUUAUUCUGGUUCAUCAGAUAUCUACUCCCCAAGUCCUUAAUUUUAUCUGACUGUCAAGGUAAGAACUAAUGUCCAAAAGAAUCCUCAGAGAGUUCAUACAAUGUCCAUUAUUAGGUCUGAAAAUUCUGACUACACAGGCUACCCUACACAUCCAAACAAAUGUCAAAUUAUACACAGCAGGGCAAUGGAAUCAAUGAAGAAACUUAGGAAGAACAACUAUUUCAAAAAAAAAAUCAUGAAGCUAUAAGUGAACUGAAUGCUGUUAUUCACAAAUGAUUUUUCUUCCUCCCAGAAUUCAUGGAAACUUUCUCUACUCUUCAUAUUAUUUAUUUCCGUGCUUUUUAAAAUUCCAAAAAUAAGGAAUUGACUAAAUAACAUGUACUCCAUUUGACUUUCUAACUCCACUGACUUCUAACAAAAAAGUGACUUUAUUUCUGAAAUGUAUCCAAAGUAAAACAGGACUCGGCAUGGAAAAAAAAAACAUGGAUGACAAUUCUAAAAAUCACAUAUAAUAAUGGUAAGGGGCCUAUAUAUACACACACACAUUUUGACCAAAAUUAUAAAGGCUCUCCAUCUAGAGGAUAGCAGGACAAACUGCAGGUUUGUAGGAUAUUUCACUGUUUUAAAUCAACCAACCAAAUAACUGAAUCAUAUAAACUAUCACCAACCAACAUCUAGUCAUAGUAGGAAGCAGGGAAAAUUGAAUUAUGACAUUAGGAAACAAUCUUAUUUGCUACUGAAUAACACAUCACUGCUUGUUAACUUUAAAAGUCUGUUCUUUUUAAGAGAUAUUUGCUCACUCAUUUCUUUACUUAUUCACUGACUAUAAACCCUGAGCAUCUAUUAUGAGCAUCUAUUAUGUGUCAGGCACUGUGCUCCAUUCUCAGGAUGUGGUGGUAAAUAAGAUAGAUCUGAUACCUGUUCUUAUGGAGUUUAGUGUCUGAAAAGAAUGUGUUCAUUUUCCUAGAUUAUAGAUAUCUAAGAGGAGGGACACAUUUUAUUAAUUUUUGUCUUCUUUCAGUAGCUUAUACAUAGCAGGCAUUUUGUUGAAAAAGUUGAUAUUAAUACUUUGCAGGUGGUGGUGUUUACGUGAGGAUUUAAAGUUCUUAAAAGCAGCCUUCAUUAAAUAAAUGUAUUAAGUAAAAUUUCUAAAAUAUUUUAAAUUAAAAUUUGUUUUUAAUUUGUUAAAGUACAAAGAAACCCAUCUAUUGGAAUUUUAAACAUUCAGAUUUUA
RNAcentral lists this long non-coding RNA (5042 nucleotides) under Homo sapiens (human). RNAcentral describes it as "HSALNT0139150". Lineage: Eukaryota; Metazoa; Chordata; Mammalia; Primates; Hominidae. The record is from RNAcentral.